UGAAGCCAAAGCGAAGAUGGGACCAGCAGCCAGCCCCGGGACGGAGUCCGACAAAGAGCUCAAAAUGUCUAAAUCUGCAGGAGCUUCGGUAUCUUUACCGAAACACUCCUACUGGUAUGACUUCUGGCUCUUCUUGCUCUUUGACGUCGUGUUUUUCCUCGUCAUGUAUUUCAUAGUCCCGUAGAAAGGGUUCGACCCCUGGACUCUGGAUGCUGAAGACAUGGCGUGUUGGUCCUGCCCUGCUGUCAGGAACGCUAACACAGCUUUGACUGAAUUUAGCACCUCCUUAUUGGAUGUCACAUAACAAGUUUCCCACCAUGGACCACGGAUGUGCACGUUUUAUACAUGUGACACUUUAACAUCAGAAAUCUGACCCACCGAGCUCCCUCCUUCAGUGACCUGUUGCCGGCCACUGUGGAUCAUCUUUUUGCAGAGAUGGAUUCCAUUGUUGCCGUGUGGAAGAGAGAAACCUCAAGUAUUUUUAUUGAUAAUUGACACUGGCCAUCUGAUGAGCUUUACUGAUCCCCAGAGGGGAACCUUUGUGAAAAAGCUAAUGAUGUUGGGGAAUAUUAUUUCAGUACAUCAAAAUUUAUAAUGUUUGCACAUAGAAAAUACCCAAAUAAAAUGUUUUACCUGCCUACUAAA
Long non-coding RNA from Plectropomus leopardus (leopard coralgrouper), 645 nucleotides. RefSeq lists it as uncharacterized. Lineage: Eukaryota; Metazoa; Chordata; Actinopteri; Perciformes; Serranidae. The record is from RefSeq and is a predicted model, not a curated record.